Long non-coding RNA from Myotis davidii, 114 nucleotides. RefSeq lists it as uncharacterized. The record is from RefSeq and is a predicted model, not a curated record. The transcript has 4 exons. Lineage: Eukaryota; Metazoa; Chordata; Mammalia; Chiroptera; Vespertilionidae.
CAACUGCACAAAGAGGUGGACUGGUUGCUAUAACGCACACUGACCCACCAGCGGGAAGACACUCAAUAUAGGAGUUGCCCCCUGGUGGUUAGUGCACUCCCACAGGGGGAGCGC